UGAGUUUAUAGCUUAAAGGUUAGAGCGUACGCUUGAUAAGCGUAAGGUUGAUCGUUCAAUUCGAUCUAAACUCAA
This 75-nucleotide transfer RNA is filed under the name Periphykon beckeri. RNAcentral's name for it is "tRNA-Ile". It matches the Rfam family "tRNA". From Rfam's summary of the family: Transfer RNA (tRNA) molecules are approximately 80 nucleotides in length. Their secondary structure includes four short double-helical elements and three loops (D, anti-codon, and T loops). Further hydrogen bonds mediate the characteristic L-shaped molecular structure. tRNAs have two regions of fundamental functional importance: the anti-codon, which is responsible for specific mRNA codon recognition, and the 3' end, to which the tRNAs corresponding amino acid is attached (by aminoacyl-tRNA synthetases). tRNAs cope with the degeneracy of the genetic code in two manners: having more than one tRNA (with a specific anti-codon) for a particular amino acid; and 'wobble' base-pairing, i.e. permitting non-standard base-pairing at the 3rd anti-codon position. Lineage: Eukaryota; Rhodophyta; Florideophyceae; Ceramiales; Rhodomelaceae. The record is from RNAcentral.